UGGGGGAUAUUGCACAAUGGGCGAAAGCCUGAUGCAGCGACGCCGCGUGGGGGAUGAAGGCUUUCGGGUUGUAAACCUCUUUCGCUAUCGAACAAGGCCCGCUUAGGGUGGGUUGAGGGUAGGUGGAGAAGAAGCGCCGGCUAACUACGUGCCAGCAGCCGCGGUAAUACGUAGGGCGCGAGCGUUGUCCGGAAUUAUUGGGCGUAAAGGGCUUGUAGGCGGCUUGUUGCGCCUGCUGUGAAAACGCGGGGCUUAACUUCGCGCGUGCAGUGGGUACGGGCAGGCUUGAGUGUGGUAGGGGUGACUGGAAUUCCAGGUGUAGCGGAGGAAUGCGCAGAUAUCUGGAGGAACACCGAUGGCGAAGGCAGGUCACUGGGCCAUUACUGACGCUGAGGAGCGAAAGCAUGGGUAGCGAACAGG
RNAcentral lists this ribosomal RNA (420 nucleotides) under bacterium. RNAcentral describes it as "partial 16S ribosomal RNA". It matches the Rfam family "Bacterial small subunit ribosomal RNA", at positions 355 to 776 of the family's 1533-position model. The record is from RNAcentral.